AUACAUGCAAGUCGAGCGCAGGAAGCAAGUUGAUCCCCUUCGGGGGUGACGCUUGUGGAAUGAGCGGCGGACGGGUGAGUAACACGUGGGCAACCUGCCUGUAAGACUGGGAUAACCCCGGGAAACCGGGGCUAAUACCGGAUAAUACUUUCUUUUGCAUAAAGGAAAGUUGAAAGGCGGCUUCGGCUGUCACUUACAGAUGGGCCCGCGGCGCAUUAGCUAGUUGGUGAGGUAACGGCUCACCAAGGCGACGAUGCGUAGCCGACCUGAGAGGGUGAUCGGCCACACUGGGACUGAGACACGGCCCAGACUCCUACGGGAGGCAGCAGUAGGGAAUCUUCCGCAAUGGACGAAAGUCUGACGGAGCAACGCCGCGUGAGUGAUGAAGGUUUUCGGAUCGUAAAACUCUGUUGUUAGGGAAGAACAAGUUGGGUAGUAACUGACCCAACCUUGACGGUACCUAACCAGAAAGCCACGGCUAACUACGUGCCAGCAGCCGCGGUAAUACGUAGGUGGCAAGCGUUGUCCGGAAUUAUUGGGCGUAAAGCGCUCGCAGGCGGUCCUUUAAGUCUGAUGUGAAAUCUCGCGGCUCAACCGCGAACGGUCAUUGGAAACUGGAGGACUUGAGUACAGAAGAGGAGAGUGGAAUUCCACGUGUAGCGGUGAAAUGCGUAGAGAUGUGGAGGAACACCAGUGGCGAAGGCGACUCUCUGGUCUGUAACUGACGCUAAGGAGCGAAAGCGUGGGGAGCGAACAGGAUUAGAUACCCUGGUAGUCCACGCCGUAAACGAUGAGUGCUAGGUGUUAGGGGGUUUCCGCCCCUUAGUGCUGAAGUUAACGCAUUAAGCACUCCGCCGGGGGAGUACGGCCGCAAGGCUGAAACUCAAAAGAAUUGACGGGGGCCCGCACAAGCGGUGGAGCAUGUGGUUUAAUUCGAAGCAACGCGAAGAACCUUACCAGGUCUUGACAUCCUCUGC
Molecule: ribosomal RNA, 977 nt
Filed under: Oceanobacillus picturae
Lineage: Bacteria; Bacillati; Bacillota; Bacilli; Caryophanales; Bacillaceae
Description: bacterial SSU rRNA
Rfam family: Bacterial small subunit ribosomal RNA
Source: RNAcentral